AAUGAACGCUGGCGGCAUGCCUAACACAUGCAAGUCGAACGAACACACGGGGUUCUUCCUCGCCUGGCGUUGUCACCGGACGGGUGAUUCACCCGUGGUUGACCUAACUAUAAGACUGGGCUGACUACAGCAGACUGGAUCUACUACCCGAUCAUAUAUUGAACCGCGUGGUUCAAUAGUGAAAGACGUUUUUGCUUUCACUAAUAGAUGUAUCCGCGCCGGAUUAGCUAGUUGGUAAGGUAACGGCUUACCAAGGCGACGAUGCGUAGCCGACCUGAGAGGGUGACCGGACACACGGGAACUGAGACACGGCCCAGACUCCUACGGGAGGCAGCAGUGGGGAAUCUUGCGCAAUGGGGGAAAGCCGGAUGGAGCAACGCCGCGGGAGGGAUGAAGGACUUCGGAUGGGAAAACGCUGUUGUUAGGGAAGAACAAAUGUGGAAGUAACCAGGAAGGUAAUGACGGUACCGGAAGAGUAAGCCACGGCUAACUACGUG
RNAcentral lists this ribosomal RNA (497 nucleotides) under uncultured bacterium. RNAcentral's name for it is "partial 16S ribosomal RNA". It matches the Rfam family "Bacterial small subunit ribosomal RNA", at positions 29 to 507 of the family's 1533-position model. The record is from RNAcentral.